GAUGAACGCUGACAGAAUGCUUAACACAUGCAAGUCGAUGGGGAAGUGGUGCUUGCACCAUGGUAACCAUGGCGGACGGGUGAGUAACGCGUAAGGAACUUACCUGCGGGACCGGGAUAACAGCAGGAAACUGCUGACAAGACCGGAUAAGGUCAUUAAGCUGCAUAGCUUAGUGAUGAAAGGAGACGCCUGCGGAGAGCCUUGCGUCCUAUUAGCUAGUUGGAGGGGUAACGGCCCACCAAGGCGAAGAUAGGUAGCCGGCCUGAGAGGGUGGACGGCCACAAGGGGACUGAGAUACGGACCUUACUCCUACGGGAGGCAGCAGUGGGGAAUAUUGGACAAUGAGGGCAACCCUGAUCCAGCAAUUCUGUGUGCACGAAGACGGUUUUCGGAUUGUAAAGUGCUUUCAGCAGGGAAGAAGGAAGUGACGGUACCUGCAGAAGAAGCGACGGCUAAAUACGUG
RNAcentral lists this ribosomal RNA (463 nucleotides) under uncultured bacterium. RNAcentral describes it as "partial 16S ribosomal RNA". It matches the Rfam family "Bacterial small subunit ribosomal RNA", at positions 28 to 507 of the family's 1533-position model. The record is from RNAcentral.